AUGAAUCGUCACGAAAGCUGGCAGGAGAAGAAGAAAACAGAACAAGCACUAGCAGCGUUAUCCUUCCCUCCACCACAGAGGGAAGGAAGGGAAGCAGAGCGCAAUGAGGAAAAAGACAAGAGUGAUGAAAGAGAGACACACAUAAAUAUUCGUAUGCGUGCCAGAGGAGUGAAAGAGGCAGCCAGGCUCGACUUGAAUCGAAUAAAGGCAGAGGAGUGGACCCCCUGCCGCUUUCCCAUCAUAGCAGAAUUCACUCAGCAUUGUGAAUUCUGGCUACGGCAUCCACACGCAGAUAUACUCUGUCUGUUUAUGCAUGUGUGCUUCUCCGUGUAUGGCUGCAACCUUUAGGUAGCUGGUGCCACAACAAGCUAACAAUAAAGAAUGCACAUAACCCUGAAAUUGAUGUUUAUAUAAAUACCUCUAUUUAUCCAUUUAUUUUACCUUCCAUUUAUGAUGAAUAAUCUUUAGGUUAGAGUAAUGGUGGUUGACCUCAAAAAAACUGCAGUAUAGUAUAAUCAUUAUCCAGAGGACUAAUGGCUUAUUUAUAUAUUAAUGUUAUAUGAGAUGUAUUUUCUGCCAUAAAAAUGAUAGUGCUACUUGCUUUUUCAUGCUGAAGGAAUUACAUUUUAUGUAAUGUGUAAUGUUUUGUGCUGUAAAGCACACCAGCAGAUUGACAAAAUCUACACAUGGUUAAAUGCAGUUAAAAGGCUGAAGGAGGCUGCCAGCCAUCUUGAUGAUAGAACUCCUUGUUUACAGUAAUAAUACCAAAGUCUCGGAAUUAAUGUGUUAUUGACUUAUUGAUGAUAAAACGCCACACAUAGUACAUUUACUUAACAAGAC
Molecule: long non-coding RNA, 840 nt
Filed under: Dicentrarchus labrax (European seabass)
Lineage: Eukaryota; Metazoa; Chordata; Actinopteri; Moronidae
Description: lncRNA (ENSDLAG00005030842.1)
Source: RNAcentral